RNAcentral lists this transfer RNA (62 nucleotides) under Polididus armatissimus. RNAcentral's name for it is "tRNA-Ala". It matches the Rfam family "tRNA". Rfam says of the family: Transfer RNA (tRNA) molecules are approximately 80 nucleotides in length. Their secondary structure includes four short double-helical elements and three loops (D, anti-codon, and T loops). The record is from RNAcentral. Lineage: Eukaryota; Metazoa; Arthropoda; Insecta; Hemiptera; Reduviidae.
GGGGUUGUAGUUAAAAAUAACAUUUAAUUUGCAAUUAAAAGGUACUUAUAUAGUCUUCCUCG